RNAcentral lists this ribosomal RNA (275 nucleotides) under Cyclophora tenuis. RNAcentral describes it as "partial Eukaryotic large subunit ribosomal RNA". It matches the Rfam family "Eukaryotic large subunit ribosomal RNA", at positions 1587 to 1862 of the family's 3401-position model. The record is from RNAcentral. Lineage: Eukaryota; Bacillariophyta; Fragilariophyceae; Cyclophorales; Cyclophoraceae.
CCGUCUGGCGAAAGGGAAGCCGGUUAACAUUCCGGCACCUGGAUGUGGAUUAUCCGCGGCAACGCAACUGAAGGUGGAGACGUCGGCGGGGGCCCCGGGAAGAGUUCUCUUUUCUUCUUAACUGUCUAUCACCCUGAAAUCGGUUUGUCCGGAGCUAGGGUUUAAUGGCAGGUAGAGCAGCACACCUUUGUGCUGUCCGGUGCGCUCUCGACGACCCUUGAAAAUCCGCCGGAAGGAAUGAUUUUCACGCGAGGUCGUACUCAUAACCGCAGCAG